CCAUAGUCUCCAAGCCGGUCUCCACAACACCACUAGCCUCAGUGCCUCUCUCCACAACACCAUUACACUCUGAAAGUGCAGAAAAUGAAUUAUGUACAGCAACAGACUGUGCAAAAUGCCUUUUAUCCACAACUCUAAGUCUACCAGAUCCUACAGUAAUCCAUCUGCCAUUCCUAGUAUGUUUCUGCGGCAGUGGCUUUGCAGCAGUUCCAG
Pelobates cultripes (western spadefoot toad) is the source of this 213-nucleotide non-coding RNA. The record is from the annotation of a GenBank genome assembly. Lineage: Eukaryota; Metazoa; Chordata; Amphibia; Anura; Pelobatidae.